This is a non-coding RNA of Podarcis lilfordi (Lilford's wall lizard), 74 nucleotides long. NCBI's taxonomy places the organism in Eukaryota, Metazoa, Chordata, Lepidosauria, Squamata, Lacertidae. The record is from the annotation of a GenBank genome assembly.
UCAGAUAGUUCAUUUGGUAGAGCAAGAGAUUCAUAAUCCAAGGGUUGUGGGUUCAAGCCCCACAUUGGGCAAAA